Molecule: transfer RNA, 60 nt
Filed under: Crustomastix stigmatica
Lineage: Eukaryota; Viridiplantae; Chlorophyta; Mamiellophyceae; Dolichomastigales; Crustomastigaceae
Rfam family: tRNA
About the family: Transfer RNA (tRNA) molecules are approximately 80 nucleotides in length.
Source: RNAcentral
CGUGGUGUAGUGGCAGCAUAUCAGCCUUCCAAGCUGAGGGGAGGGGUUCGAUCCCCCUCG